This 52-nucleotide microRNA precursor is filed under the name Canis lupus familiaris (dog). RNAcentral's name for it is "mir-1302 microRNA precursor family". It matches the Rfam family "mir-1302 microRNA precursor family". The record is from Rfam by way of RNAcentral. RNAcentral also lists the same sequence under 1 other name. Lineage: Eukaryota; Metazoa; Chordata; Mammalia; Carnivora; Canidae.
UUUUUAGUAUAAGUAUAUUUCAUGCAAUAUUUAGAACAUACUUACACUAAAG